AUCCAGCUGACGAGUCCUAAAUAGGACGAAACCCACAUCAAACUGGAU
Molecule: non-coding RNA, 48 nt
Filed under: Schistosoma mansoni
Lineage: Eukaryota; Metazoa; Platyhelminthes; Trematoda; Strigeidida; Schistosomatidae
Source: RNAcentral